RNAcentral lists this unclassified non-coding RNA (380 nucleotides) under uncultured Gemmatimonadaceae bacterium. Its description in RNAcentral is "contains 16S-23S intergenic spacer region". The record is from RNAcentral. Lineage: Bacteria; Pseudomonadati; Gemmatimonadota; Gemmatimonadia; Gemmatimonadales; Gemmatimonadaceae.
UCCGGUUUGGCACCGGCAGUCUCUCUAGAGUCCCCGCCAUGACGCGCUGGUAACUAGAGACGAGGGUUGCGCUCGUUGCGGGACUUAACCCAACAUCUCACGACACGAGCUGACGACAGCCAUGCAGCACCUGUGACGGCGUCCCGAAGGAGGGCCCCCCUUUCAGGGGGCUUUCACCGCCAUGUCAAGCCCAGGUAAGGUUCUUCGCGUUGCGUCGAAUUAAACCACAUGCUCCACCGCUUGUGCGGGCCCCCGUCAAUUCCUUUGAGUUUCAGCCUUGCGGCCGUACUCCCCAGGCGGGGCACUUAAUGCGUUAGCGCCGGCACCCGGGGGGUCGCUCCCCCAAGCACCUAGUGCCCAUCGUUUACGGCGUGGACUAC